RNAcentral lists this ribosomal RNA (326 nucleotides) under uncultured bacterium. RNAcentral describes it as "bacterial SSU rRNA". It matches the Rfam family "Bacterial small subunit ribosomal RNA", at positions 28 to 359 of the family's 1533-position model. The record is from RNAcentral.
GAUAAACGCUGGCGGCGUGCCUAACACAUGCAAGUCGAACGCCCUUUUGCGCAAGUGAGAGGGAGUGGCGGACGGGUGAGUAGCACGUGGGUAGCUACCCCAAGAUGAGGAAUACCACCGAGAAAUACGGUGACAAGACCGCAUACCUUCGGCCACGAAGAAAGCUUCUCCUCACGAGAGGCGUCUUGGGAUGGGCCGUGCGCCUGAUUAGCUGGUUGGUGAGGUAACAGCUCACCAAGGCGACGAUCAGUAGCUGGUCUGAGAGGAUGAUCAGCCACACUGGGAUUGAGAACGGCCCAGACUCCGUACGGGGGGCAGCAGUGAGG